Molecule: ribosomal RNA, 609 nt
Filed under: Triticum aestivum (bread wheat)
Lineage: Eukaryota; Viridiplantae; Streptophyta; Magnoliopsida; Poales; Poaceae
Description: partial small subunit ribosomal RNA
Source: RNAcentral
AUGCCGGCUCUUACGGCGAAGCGAGCGUCCUCGGAGCGGUGCGCGAUCCGCCGCGAGCUCCACCGGCGCAGGAAGCUCGCCGCCGCGCCCAAAGGCGGAAUCAUCAGCAAGGACGCAUCGAUCCAGAGCAAGCCGUCGUCCCUGCACGCGCACGCGCGGGGCGGAGUGGCCAUGCCGUCUGCGUCGACACUGCACGCGCCAGCCCUAGUGGCCGCCUGCGCACCGACGGCGACGGGAGAGGUUACCAAGAGAAGGUGCACCACCCCGCCGCGCCGACCCGCGCCGGCUCCAUCUCGAGCUGCCACAAGGGAGACGUCGACCCAAGACACGACACCAAGGGCAGAGCACGUCAAGAAGAAGAUGCCAUCUUCGUCGAUCCGGGUGAAAAAGGGCAUGACGGUGAAGGUGCGCACGCGCGCCGGGAUCCUGCCGACGGGGCACUGCCUCCUGCUCUGGCUCGCCGCCCGCGUCGUCUCCGACGCAGCAGAUGACGACGGCUACAUCGAAGUGAUCUACAACGGCAACUUCCCCUGCGACGACCCAUUCCGAACCGUACGCGUCGCCAUGGACGACGUCAGGAGCAUGCCCGCCAUCGUCGAGAGUUCCUAG